RNAcentral lists this ribosomal RNA (460 nucleotides) under uncultured bacterium. RNAcentral describes it as "partial 16S ribosomal RNA". It matches the Rfam family "Bacterial small subunit ribosomal RNA", at positions 338 to 795 of the family's 1533-position model. The record is from RNAcentral.
CCUACGGGAGGCAGCAGUGAGGAAUAUUGGUCAAUGGCCGGAAGGCUGAACCAGCCAUGCCGCGUGAAGGUCAGUGCCCUAUGGGCGUUACACUUCUUUUGUGCGUGAGCAAUAAUGGUCACGUGUGGCCCGACGAGAGUACCGUACGAAUAAGCAUCGGCUAACUCCGUGCCAGCAGCCGCGGUAAUACGGGGGAUGCAAGCGUUAUCCGGAUUUAUUGGGUUUAAAGGGUGCGUAGGCUGUGAGGUAAGUCAGCGGUGAAAUGCCCCCGCUCAACGGGGUGAAGUGCCAUUGAUACUGGCGUGCUGGAAUGCGGAUGCCGUGGGAGGAAUGUGUGGUGUAGCGGUGAAAUGCAUAGAUAUCACACAGAACACCGAUUGCGAAGGCAUCUCACGAAGCCGCGAUUGACGCUGAUGCACGAAAGCGUGGGUAUCAAACAGGAUUAGAUACCCGAGUAGUC